CCAGACUCCUACGGGAGGCAGCAGUGAGGAAUAUUGGUCAAUGGGCGCGAGCCUGAACCAGCCAAGUCGCGUGAGGGAAGACGGUCCUAUGGAUUGUAAACCUCUUUUGUCGGGGAGCAAAAGACGCCACGUGUGGCGUUCCGAGAGUACCCGAAGAAAAAGCAUCGGCUAACUCCGUGCCAGCAGCCGCGGUAAUACGGAGGAUGCGAGCGUUAUCCGGAUUUAUUGGGUUUAAAGGGUGCGCAGGCGGGAGAUCAAGUCAGCGGUAAAAUGUCGGGGCUCAACCCCGGCCGGCCGUUGAAACUGGUUUUCUAGAGUUGGAGAGAAGUAUGCGGAAUUCGUGGUGUAGCGGUGAAAUGCAUAGAUAUCACGAAGAACUCCGAUUGCGAAGGCAGCAUACCGGCUCCAUACUGACGCUGAGGCACGAAAGCGUGGGGAUCGAACAGGAUUAGAUACCCCAGUAA
This 464-nucleotide ribosomal RNA is filed under the name uncultured bacterium. Its description in RNAcentral is "bacterial SSU rRNA". It matches the Rfam family "Bacterial small subunit ribosomal RNA", at positions 331 to 793 of the family's 1533-position model. The record is from RNAcentral.